Molecule: ribosomal RNA, 484 nt
Filed under: Escherichia coli
Lineage: Bacteria; Pseudomonadati; Pseudomonadota; Gammaproteobacteria; Enterobacterales; Enterobacteriaceae
Description: bacterial LSU rRNA
Rfam family: Bacterial large subunit ribosomal RNA
Source: RNAcentral
CCCAGAGCCUGAAUCAGUGUGUGUGUUAGUGGAAGCGUCUGGAAAGGCGUGCGAUACAGGGUGACAGCCCCGUACACAAAAAUGCACAUACUGUGAGCUCGAUGAGUAGGGCGGGACACGUGGUAUCCUGUCUGAAUAUGGGGGGACCAUCCUCCAAGGCUAAAUACUCCUGACUGACCGAUAGUGAACCAGUACCGUGAGGGAAAGGCGAAAAGAACCCCGGCGAGGGGAGUGAAAAAGAACCUGAAACCGUGUACGUACAAGCAGUGGGAGCACAGAUCAAUCUGUGUGACUGCGUACCUUUUGUAUAAUGGGUCAGCGACUUAUAUUCUGUAGCAAGGUUAACCGAAUAGGGGAGCCGAAGGGAAACCGAGUCUUAACUGGGCGUUAAGUUGCAGGGUAUAGACCCGAAACCCGGUGAUCUAGCCAUGGGCAGGUUGAAGGUUGGGUAACACUAACUGGAGGACCGAACCGACUAAUGUUG